GACGAACGCUGGCGGCGUGCCUAAUACAUGCAAGUCGAGCGCAGGAAACUGACGGAACUCUUCGGAGGGAAGGCAGUGGAAUGAGCGGCGGACGGGUGAGUAACACGUAAGGGACCUGCCUCAAGGAUUGGGAUAACUCCGAGAAAUCGGAGCUAAUACCGGAUAGUUCAUCGGACCGCAUGGUCCGCUGAUGAAAGGCGCUCCGGCGUCACCUUGAGAUGGCCUUGCGGUGCAUUAGCUAGUUGGUGGGGUAACGGCCCACCAAGGCGACGAUGCAUAGCCGACCUGAGAGGGUGAUCGGCCACACUGGGACUGAGACACGGCCCAGACUCCUACGGGAGGCAGCAGUAGGGAAUCUUCCACAAUGGACGAAAGUCUGAUGGAGCAACGCCGCGUGAGUGAUGAAGGUUUUCGGAUCGUAAAACUCUGUUGUAAGGGAAGAACACGUACGAGAGGGAAUGCUCGUACCUUGACGGUACCUUACGAGAAAGCCACGGCUAACUAUGUGCCAGCCGCCGCCGUAA
This 524-nucleotide ribosomal RNA is filed under the name uncultured bacterium. Its description in RNAcentral is "partial 16S ribosomal RNA". It matches the Rfam family "Bacterial small subunit ribosomal RNA", at positions 28 to 523 of the family's 1533-position model. The record is from RNAcentral.